UGCAAAGGAUGAGCUACUUGUCACCUGACAACCAUUCUCCUGGAGGUAAAACUGAUUUAAUGAGCCUGAUGC
Molecule: small nucleolar RNA, 72 nt
Organism: Anneissia japonica
Lineage: Eukaryota; Metazoa; Echinodermata; Crinoidea; Comatulida; Comatulidae
Source: RefSeq, a predicted model, not a curated record